UUAUGGCUCAGGAUGAACGCUAGCGGCAGGCUUAACACAUGCAAGUCGAGGGGCAGCGGGAUGUAGCAAUACAUUGCCGGCGACCGGCGGAUGGGUGCGUAACGCGUAUGCAACCUACCUUAUACAGGGAAUAACCUUUCGAAAGGGAGACUAACACCCAUGGUAUUGAUUUAAGGCAUCUUAGAUUAAUUAAAUAUUUAUAGGUAUAAGAUGGGCAUGCGUAUGAUUAGCUAGUUGGUAAGGUAACGGCUUACCAAGGCGACGAUCAUUAGGGGUUCUGAGAGGAAGGUCCCCCACACUGGUACUGAGACACGGACCAGACUCCUACGGGAGGCAGCAGUGAGGAAUAUUGGUCAAUGGGCGCAAGCCUGAACCAGCCAUGCCGCGUGCAGGAAAAGACGGCCUUAUGGGUUGUAAACUGCUUUUACAUAAGACUAACCGUAUAUUUGCGAAUAUACCUGAAUGUAUUAUGAGAAUAAGGAUCGGCUAACUCCGUGCCAGCAGCUGC
This 508-nucleotide ribosomal RNA is filed under the name uncultured bacterium. RNAcentral describes it as "bacterial SSU rRNA". It matches the Rfam family "Bacterial small subunit ribosomal RNA", at positions 17 to 518 of the family's 1533-position model. The record is from RNAcentral.